Molecule: ribosomal RNA, 116 nt
Filed under: Lysinibacillus fusiformis
Lineage: Bacteria; Bacillati; Bacillota; Bacilli; Caryophanales; Bacillaceae
Also listed under: 8 other names
Source: RNAcentral
UCUAGUGAUGAUGGCAAAGAGGUCACACCCGUUCCCAUACCGAACACGGAAGUUAAGCUCUUUAGCGCCGAUGGUAGUUGGGGGUUUCCCCCUGUGAGAGUAGGACGUCGCUAGGC